RNAcentral lists this long non-coding RNA (797 nucleotides) under Olea europaea subsp. europaea. Lineage: Eukaryota; Viridiplantae; Streptophyta; Magnoliopsida; Lamiales; Oleaceae. The record is from RNAcentral.
CAUGUCAACAAUGUCUCCAAUAACAACAAUUCCAAUUUCAAUAUUUAAAAUUCUAGCAAUCUUAUGUCAACUAUUACAAGACAUGGGAAAAAAAAAACAAAAAAUCUGCUUAAUGUUAAUACGUUUUCAAUUCAAGCAAUUACUACAUAUGAAAGUCUAGUAAGUUUAUAUCCAUUACAUAGAAAAAGAAAACAAGAUUUCAAUCGAAAUCAAUUCCAGCAUUCUGAUUUGGAAGAUAAUCAGCCCACAUUAAAUCAGCAAUCGCAUUCCUCUUAUUAGACCAUACUUCCUGAUUUGUGAAAGAUAUGUGAGCAUUUGGAGUUUCAUCUUCAGGUACAUCAACAUGCGUAGGGUUAACAUCAUCAUCACUACUAUCUAAGUCGUCCUCCUCACAAACAUCUUCAACGUCAUCAAUCCUUAAGAAGUUGUGGAUGGCAGAACAGGCAAGGACUAUCUUUGCUUGUGUGUCAAUGUCGUGAUAGGGUUGAUGUCUCAAAUAUGCAAAUCUUUUUUUUAGCAACCCAAUUGUACGCUCAAUAACAUUACGUAGAGAUGAAUGUCGAAAAUUGAACAACUCCUUACUACUUUCAGGACGUUGACCUUCAAUGUCUCUACGAUGAUAACGAGUCCUACGGUAUGGUGCAAGAAAACCCGAAACCGAUGGGAAGCCAGCGUCAACAAGGUAAUAUUUACCUAGGAAAGAGUCGUUCAUACGAUGGUAGUUAGGUAAUUAUUAUAACUUAUGUGUGGAAGAAAUGUUUUCAAAAUAGUGACACAACUUAUCAACAGGAAUUGUU